Molecule: regulatory RNA element, 172 nt
Organism: Vibrio nigripulchritudo
Lineage: Bacteria; Pseudomonadati; Pseudomonadota; Gammaproteobacteria; Vibrionales; Vibrionaceae
Rfam family: Lysine riboswitch aptamer
About the family: Riboswitches are metabolite binding domains within certain messenger RNAs that serve as precision sensors for their corresponding targets. Allosteric rearrangement of mRNA structure is mediated by ligand binding, and this results in modulation of gene expression.
Source: Rfam
UCUAGCAGAAGAGGAGCAUUGCCCAGGCAGGUUUGGUGUGGAACCCCAAUUCCAAGACACCUAACUCAGGGGGAGCAAUGCCGAGAUGACAAUUCAUUGCGGGUGAAUUGAGCAUCGGGCGAGCAGGUUGAAUCCUGCCGACUGUCACCCUAGGUGAAGAGCUUCUGAGGUA